This 253-nucleotide ribosomal RNA is filed under the name uncultured bacterium. Its description in RNAcentral is "partial 16S ribosomal RNA". It matches the Rfam family "Bacterial small subunit ribosomal RNA", at positions 524 to 776 of the family's 1533-position model. The record is from RNAcentral.
UACAGAGGCCUCGAGCGUUAGGCGGAAUCACUGGGCUUAAAGCGUGUGUAGGCGGAUGCCUAAGUACCUUGUGAAAUCCCACAGCUCAACUGUGGAACUGCUUGGUAUACUGGGUGUCUUGAGCCACUUAGGGGCUACCGGAACAAAUGGUGGAGCGGUGAAAUGCGUAGAUAUCAUUUGGAACGCCAAUGGUGAAAACAGGUAACUGGGAGUGUGCUGACGCUGAGACACGAAAGCCAGGGGAGCGAACGGG